This 504-nucleotide ribosomal RNA is filed under the name uncultured bacterium. Its description in RNAcentral is "partial 16S ribosomal RNA". It matches the Rfam family "Bacterial small subunit ribosomal RNA", at positions 29 to 523 of the family's 1533-position model. The record is from RNAcentral.
AUUGAACGCUGGCGGCAGGCCUAACACAUGCAAGUCGGACGGUAGCACAGAGAGCUUGCUCUCGGGUGACGAGUGGCGGACGGGUGAGUAAUGUCUGGGGAUCUGCCCGAUAGAGGGGGAUAACCACUGGAAACGGUGGCUAAUACCGCAUAACGUCGCAAGACCAAAGAGGGGGACCUUCGGGCCUCUCACUAUCGGAUGAACCCAGAUGGGAUUAGCUAGUAGGCGGGGUAAUGGCCCACCUAGGCGACGAUCCCUAGCUGGUCUGAGAGGAUAACAAGCCACACUGGAACUGAGACACUGUCCAGAAUCCUACGGGAGGCAGCAGUGGGGAAUAUUGCACAAUGGGCGCAAGCCUGAUGCAGCCAUGCCGCGUGUAUGAAGAAGGCCUUCGGGUUGUAAAGUACUUUCAGCGGGGAGGAAGGCGGUGCGGUUAAUAACCGCGCCGAUUGACGUUACCCGCAGAAGAAGCACCGGCUAACUCCGUGCCAGCCGCCGCGGUAA